ACAUUGGUUUAGUGGUUAGCAUGUUUGCCUCGCACCUACAGGGUUGAGGGUUCGAAUCCCACCUCCGCCAUGUG
Molecule: non-coding RNA, 74 nt
Organism: Pangasianodon gigas (Mekong giant catfish)
Lineage: Eukaryota; Metazoa; Chordata; Actinopteri; Siluriformes; Pangasiidae
Source: the annotation of a GenBank genome assembly